This is a long non-coding RNA of Gossypium raimondii (Peruvian cotton), 307 nucleotides long. RefSeq lists it as uncharacterized. The transcript has 3 exons. NCBI's taxonomy places the organism in Eukaryota, Viridiplantae, Streptophyta, Magnoliopsida, Malvales, Malvaceae. The record is from RefSeq and is a predicted model, not a curated record.
UAGCCCAAAAGGAGAGAUCAAGUGAAACCAAUUUCGACAGGUGGGAGACUUGGGAUGGGACUUCUCCUGCAAACAAUGUAUUGGAAAGGUUGAGGUAGAAUAGGCUUGUAAACCGACCGAACUCGGAUGGAAUUUUGGAAAGAUUAAAAUCAUUGUAGGCAAGGUUGAGUUUUUGAAGGUGAGGAAGAAGGAAGAGAGUGGUAUUGGAAGGGAAGUUGCCAUAUAGCCAACUGCAGCUCAAGUCAAGGGCAAUAACAUGAGCAUUUAGGUGGUCACAAGUGACCCCAUCCCAUGAGCAGCAAUCUGU